Molecule: ribosomal RNA, 116 nt
Filed under: uncultured bacterium
Lineage: Bacteria
Description: partial 16S ribosomal RNA
Rfam family: Bacterial small subunit ribosomal RNA
Source: RNAcentral
UACGGUGAAUACGUUCCCGGACCUUGCACACACCGCCCGUCAAGCCAUGGAAGCCGGGUGUAUCUAAAGUCGGUAACCGUAAGGAGCCGCCUAGGGUAAAACUAGUAACUGGGGCU